This 1016-nucleotide long non-coding RNA is filed under the name Anas platyrhynchos platyrhynchos (common mallard). RNAcentral's name for it is "lncRNA (ENSAPLG00000017024.1)". The record is from RNAcentral. Lineage: Eukaryota; Metazoa; Chordata; Aves; Anseriformes; Anatidae.
AGAAACUGGCUGGAUAGCCGGGCCCAACGAGUCGUGGUGAAUGGAGUCAAGUCCAGUUGGAGGCCAGUCACUAGUCACGUCUCCCAGGGCUUGGUGCUGGGGCCGGUCCUCUUUAAUAUCUUCAUCGAUGAUCUGGACGAGGGCACUGAGUGCACCCUCAGUAAGUUUGCAGAUGAAGUAAGUUUAACAGUGUGACCAGCAGGGCUAGGGAGGUGAUCUAGGGAGGAGACUGUACGUGAUUGUGGUCACCUUCCUGGUGGCCGCCAACAUGACCUUCCAGCCUACCAAGCUCAUCCAGCUCAAAAGCACAACAGGUGAGCUGUUCAAGCAUGGCAGGGAUGGAGAUCAAUAGAAAACAGGUGUGGGGAGGUGUUCUUUUGUGCAAAAUCUCAUCCUUCGUGUGCCAAUUCAUGCCGGUGGGUCCCCAGCAGAUUGUGGUCUAAAGGAACCCCCAUCCACCUCUGGCAGCACACGCUGACGUCUCUGUGGGUGAAGCCACGCUGAACGUGGUCCCACUGGGCAGCUCCUGACAUGCAGAAGGAGCCUGAUUCCUGUUGUUUUCAUUCCAAAAAGCAAGGAAACACUUGAACCAGUUAUAAACCAUUUUUAUAAUGUUCCCAUAAUGUUACCAUUUUUUUCUUAAAAAGCACUAAGGGAGGACAGAAAUCAGACUUGCACAAUGGGUUUCAAGAAGUCAGUUGGGGCCUUUCCAAGAAGAGCAUAAGAGCAGCUUAAUUUGUCCUUUGGCUUUUGCUUAGGAGUAACCCACCCUGCUCUGGCUUCUCUCCUGUUUCCAGACCUGCUGCUGCUUUUCCAGGUGUCCUGUAUUGCAGCAGAAAUGACAGAGCUCUGGGCAGAGGAAGGAUCCUCUGUCACGAUGCACGCACCGGCUAUCAGGAACAUCAGCUUGGUCGAGUGGGAAUACAUAAGAGAGAACAUCCCCGAAUUAAUCCUGCAGUACUACGCAGAGUCACAAAGCUGCAAGAGAUGGACAGUGGCAUCUAUAGAGCAACAGU